Danio aesculapii is the source of this 779-nucleotide long non-coding RNA. RefSeq lists it as uncharacterized. NCBI's taxonomy places the organism in Eukaryota, Metazoa, Chordata, Actinopteri, Cypriniformes, Danionidae. The record is from RefSeq and is a predicted model, not a curated record. The transcript is spliced from 2 exons.
CGCUCUGAUACCUGUGAUGUUUGUUCCAUUUGUUCUCAAUAUGUUGUGUACAUUUUAGGAUUGACUUGGUUAAAUGUGUUUGUGUUUCGCUGGUUUAAAGCAGCAAUAACCAUAAAACCACAGGAAUUCUGGUGCGCCAACAAAAAUGAGCGUUAACACGUUUUGUAAGUCCCAUCCCCAGCUUGUUCCUGCUCUCCCAGUCAGCGUUCUCCCUCACAAACCACCUCCAUCCAAUCCUGUGAACACUCACCAGCAUUCUAAUGACUUGCACCUGUUCCCCAUCACCAAAGGACACUCUAAAGACCCACCUUCUCCUCUCAGUCUUCGGCUGGUAUUGAAGUCAGAUGGUUGUCUUCAUCUUUGCUCCUUCGGCUUCUCCCCUUCUUCCAUGGAUGUUCCUUAUGAGUCUUUGAGUCCUUCAUAAUGAUCAAGGGAAGUGAUUAUUCUUAUCUGAUGUUUACUAGAAGAUCUUCUAUCGCUCUGAACUGUGUGCUUGUAUACUCAUCAAUGGAUGACAAUUGCAUGCUUACUGAUCCUUCUCACCGAUCUGGAGGAAUGCUUACACUUGUGUAGUGUUUACCAAAAGAUCAGCUAUCUACUAGAUGAACUGUCUGUAUACUCCCCUGCUGUGUCUCUUGAGAGUAAACUUCAAGUGCGAUCGAUAACACAUUGUUGACACUUCUAUUGCUGUGAAUGAAGAUCACAACAGCAUUUAUAUCAACCAUUUGAAUUCCCUAUGUGAUUAGUGACUUUGUUUUAAAUAAAACUUGAGAAACGAA